RNAcentral lists this ribosomal RNA (468 nucleotides) under uncultured bacterium. RNAcentral describes it as "partial 16S ribosomal RNA". It matches the Rfam family "Bacterial small subunit ribosomal RNA", at positions 28 to 507 of the family's 1533-position model. The record is from RNAcentral.
GACGAACGCUGGCGGCGUGCUUAACACAUGCAAGUCGAACGGAAAGGCCCUGCUUUUGUGGGGUGCUCGAGUGGCGAACGGGUGAGUAACACGUGAGUAACCUGCCCUUGACUUUGGGAUAACUUCAGGAAACUGGGGCUAAUACCGGAUAGGAGCUCCUGCUGCAUGGUGGGGGUUGGAAAGUUUCGGCGGUUGGGGAUGGACUCGCGGCUUAUCAGCUUGUUGGUGGGGUAGUGGCUUACCAAGGCUUUGACGGGUAGCCGGCCUGAGAGGGUGACCGGCCACAUUGGGACUGAGAUACGGCCCAGACUCCUACGGGAGGCAGCAGUGGGGAAUAUUGCACAAUGGGCGGAAGCAUGAUGCAGCAACGCCGCGUGCGGGAUGACGGCCUUCGGGUUGUAAACCGCUUUCGCCUGUGACGAAGCGUGAGUGACGGUAAUGGGUAAAGAAGCACCGGCUAACUACGUG